GCCUUAUUAGCUCAGUUGGUUUAGAGCGUCGUGCUAAUAACGCGAAGGUCACAGGUUCGAUCCCUGUAUGAGGCA
This 75-nucleotide transfer RNA is filed under the name Dimargaris cristalligena. It matches the Rfam family "tRNA". Rfam says of the family: Transfer RNA (tRNA) molecules are approximately 80 nucleotides in length. Their secondary structure includes four short double-helical elements and three loops (D, anti-codon, and T loops). The record is from Rfam by way of RNAcentral. Lineage: Eukaryota; Fungi; Kickxellomycota; Dimargaritomycetes; Dimargaritales; Dimargaritaceae.